RNAcentral lists this ribosomal RNA (519 nucleotides) under uncultured bacterium. RNAcentral describes it as "bacterial SSU rRNA". It matches the Rfam family "Bacterial small subunit ribosomal RNA", at positions 791 to 1310 of the family's 1533-position model. The record is from RNAcentral.
UAGUCCACGCCGUAAACGUUGCGCACUUGGUGUGGGAGGUAUUGACCCCUUCCGUGCCGUAGCUAACGCGUUAAGUGCGCCGCCUGGGGAGUACGGUCGCAAGAUUAAAACUCAAAGAAAUUGACGGGGGCCCGCACAAGCGGAGGAGCAUGUGGCUUAAUUCGAUGCAACGCGAAGAACCUUACCAGGGUUUGACAUUUAGCUGCACGCCCCAUGAAAGUGGGGAAGCUUUUGAAGGUGCUAAACAGGUGCUGCAUGGCUGUCGUCAGUUCGUGCCGUGAGGUGUUUGGUUAAGUCCAGCAACGAACGCAACCCUUGUGUCUAGUUGCCAACAGGUAAUGCUGGGAACUCUAGACAGACUGCCCGUGCAAUCGGGAGGAAGGUGGGGAUGACGUCAAGUCAGUAUGGCCCUUACACCCUGGGCUGCACACGUGCUACAAUGGCCGGUACAGAAGGAUGCAAUACCGCGAGGUGGAGCAAAUCCUCAAAGCCGGCCCCAGUUCGGAUUGGAGUCUGAAA